Molecule: long non-coding RNA, 839 nt
Organism: Pollicipes pollicipes
Lineage: Eukaryota; Metazoa; Arthropoda; Thecostraca; Pollicipedomorpha; Pollicipedidae
Exons: 3
Source: RefSeq, a predicted model, not a curated record
GCUGCCGAGCCCCUGGGCACGGACAGACGGGCCCACACUGGUCAACAAGCGGCUGGCGGCCUCAUAGACCUGCAGCACAUUGCUAGUAGUUGUGACGCGCUGUAGCUGCGGCUGACGAUAGUCAAAAUCGCCCUUUGUUUUGUUCAAUCACAGCAAUUUUGGCCUGAAGACAUGUCGACUGUGCGCCUGUUCAGCGCGGCGACCCUCCGGCGCCAUUACGCCCUGCUGCCUCUGGUCGGCAUGCUGGCCGCGGCCGUGACCGGUGCCGUGGCCUUCUCCGUGCGGACGGCGGUCAGGGCGCCGGAGGUGGCGUACCGCAGGUCCGACGCUGCGCCAUGGGAGAGCUACCGCCAUCGGAGCUACAAACUAUACAACCCCAGCGGCCUGCGUCGUGACCAGUGCCCGGCGCCAAGGUUUUGAAAGCUCACGUGCGGCGCCGUCGCCGCGUGGUGGUCGCCGAGGGCGACCAGCGUCUCGGCGGGAAUCGACGCCGGCGUGAUUGUCUUCGCCCAUCGUCCGUUGCGAUUGUCCGGACCCAGUUGUCCGACGUGAUUGCUCAGACCAUUUCAUUGUCACAAAACGAAUUGUCUGCGCAUAGGCAUUGCAUUGUGUUUGGUUAACGUUGCGUUCCAUUGCGUUUGGUAAAGCACAAAGCCCAGACUGUGGAUCACUGUAUGUAUCGUGUGAAAUUAGUUGCCGACAGAUGUCAAAUUUGCAGAAUGUGUAGAAUGGUUCGGGAAUUCAAUUGCUUUGUAAAACUGUAUUGUAAAUUGUAUUGUGUGACGUUGCACUGCAUGGUAGAUUUGCCUUGUUUUGUAUCUUUGUUCUAGUAUUCAUGU